AAGUCGUAACAAGGUAACCGUAGGUGAACCUGCGGUUGGAUCAUUAAUAAAUUUAUAAAGGUAUUUGUGUUUGAAAAAACCAUUUACUCUUUAACAAAUUUGUGAAUUUUAUUAAAGUCUUUUGGGUUAACUUUUAUUUGUUAACUCAAAAAUCUAUUUAAACAAACAUUUUUUUUUAUCAAGUCUAUAAAAAACCUUUAAAUUUAAUUUAAAAAACAACUUUUGACAACGGAUCUCUUGGCUCUC
RNAcentral lists this unclassified non-coding RNA (246 nucleotides) under fungal sp. RNAcentral describes it as "partial internal transcribed spacer region". The stretch from base 1 to 46 matches the Rfam family "Eukaryotic small subunit ribosomal RNA", at positions 1786 to 1831 of the family's 1831-position model. The record is from RNAcentral. Lineage: Eukaryota; Fungi.